This 497-nucleotide ribosomal RNA is filed under the name uncultured bacterium. RNAcentral's name for it is "partial 16S ribosomal RNA". It matches the Rfam family "Bacterial small subunit ribosomal RNA", at positions 28 to 507 of the family's 1533-position model. The record is from RNAcentral.
GAUGAACGCUGGCGGCGUGCCUAAUACAUGCAAGUCGAGCGAACAGACGAGGAGCUUGCUCCUCUGACGUUAGCGGCGGACGGGUGAGUAACACGUGGAUAACCUACCUAUAAGACUGGGAUAACUUCGGGAAUCCGGAGCUAAUACCGGAUAAUAUAUUGAACCGCAUGGUUCAAUAGUGAAAGACGGUUUUGCUGUCACUUAUAGAAGGAUCCGCGCCGCAUUAGCUAGUUGGUAAGGUGACGGCUUACCAAGGCAACGAUGCGUAGCCGACCUGAGAGGGUGAUCGGCCACACUGGAACUGAGACACGGUCCAGACCCCUACGGGAGGCAGCAGUAGGGAAUCUUCCGCAAUGGGCGAAAGCCUGACGGAGCAACGCCGCGUGAGUGAUGAGGGUCUUCGGAUCGUAAAACUCUGUUAUUAGGGAAGAACAAAUGUGUAAGUAACUAUGCACGUCUUGACGGUACCUAAUCAGAAAGCCACGGCUAACUACGUG